RNAcentral lists this long non-coding RNA (689 nucleotides) under Rattus norvegicus (Norway rat). RNAcentral describes it as "long non-coding RNA NONRATT021526". Lineage: Eukaryota; Metazoa; Chordata; Mammalia; Rodentia; Muridae. The record is from RNAcentral.
GAGCUGGCCACCCCUCUCCACACCGGACUCGGGCAGCGGCCUGGGCAACCUAGCGUCCACCUGCGCUCCUGGGACCCCCGCCCGCCGCGCUCCUUCGGGAUGCGAGUCCCUGAGCGGACUCCCGGGAGGGGCGGGCACACGCGCGGCUUCUCCCGGUGCACAGGGAUGUUGCUGUCCCGGGGGCCCCGGCGCGUGGCCGAGGCCAGCCCCGCGGGCCCCUGAAGCUGCUGCCCCGAGCGCGCCGCCGCCGGGCUCCCGCAGCCGUCAGAGACACCGUUUCCAGUCAUCCAACCUCUCAGGCUUGGACCCAUGGAGCCCGCAGUGUUGGCUCCGCACCACCUUCCGCACCACGAACCCAUUAGCUUCGGCAUCGAUCAGAUACUGAGCGGCCCCGAGCCCCCGGGGGGCGGUCUGGGUCCGGGUCAGGUUGGCCAGAGCCAAGGGGAGAGUGCGGCGUUCUCCAGUGGAUUCCACGGAACCUCAGGCUACGCUCCAGCCGGCUCGCUGGCCUCGUUGCCUAGGGGCUCGGGAGUGGGCCCCGGCGGCGUGAUCCGAGUCCCCGCGCACCGCCCGGUGCCUGUGCCGCCGCCCUCGGGUGCGGCCCCCGCCGUGGCCGGACCGUCUGGUUUGGGUGGCCCUGGGGGCCUAGCGGGACUCACUUUCCCCUGGAUGGACAGCGGCCGCCGCUU